GAUGAACGCUGGCGGCGUGCCUAAUACAUGCAAGUCGAGCGAACAGACGAGGAGCUUGCUCCUCUGACGUUAGCGGCGGACGGGUGAGUAACACGUGGAUAACCUACCUAUAAGACUGGGAUAACUUCGGGAAACCGGAGCUAAUACCGGAUAAUAUAUUGAACCGCAUGGUUCAAUAGUGAAAGACGGUUUUGCUGUCACUUAUAGAUGGAUCCGCGCCGCAUUAGCUAGUUGGUAAGGUAACGGCUUACCAAGGCGACGAUGCGUAGCCGACCUGAGAGGGUGAUCGGCCACACUGGAACUGAGACACGGUCCAGACUCCUACGGGAGGCAGCAGUAGGGAAGCUUCCGCAAUGGGCGAAAGCCUGACGGAGCAACGCCGCGUGAGUGAUGAAGGUCUUCGGAUCGUAAAACUCUGUUAUUAGGGAAGAACAAAUGUGUAAGUAACUAUGCACGUCUUGACGGUACCUAAUCAGAAGGCCAGGGCUAACUACGUG
Molecule: ribosomal RNA, 497 nt
Filed under: uncultured bacterium
Lineage: Bacteria
Description: partial 16S ribosomal RNA
Rfam family: Bacterial small subunit ribosomal RNA
Source: RNAcentral